RNAcentral lists this long non-coding RNA (1707 nucleotides) under Canis lupus familiaris (dog). RNAcentral describes it as "lncRNA (ENSCAFG00030025313.1, ENSCAFG00040018056.1)". Lineage: Eukaryota; Metazoa; Chordata; Mammalia; Carnivora; Canidae. The record is from RNAcentral.
AUGUUUUUAAAAUCACUAGAGAAGUGGCAUAGCAGACCUGAGAUCUGGCCCUCUCCCUCCCCACCCCCUCUUCCUGCCACUACCCCACAUGAGCCCCAGCCAUACCAAACCCAUUCCAGGACCCUGAAGUUAUUAUGCAGCCUCAUACCACAUCUUCUGCCUAAAUGUCUUUCCUCCUCUCAUCUACCUACAAAACACCAUUUCAGACAUCCUCUCCUCUGGGCAGCUUCUUGGAGGACCCGUCCAGGGUCAGCCCCACCCCUGCUGAUGUCAACCUGUGGAUAAAGUCCUAGGAAUGGAGUUACUGUGUCAAAGAGGAAAAAUAGUUUGUGAGUAUUGAAACAUUUGUUCAGUAACUUUCCAAUGAUGUUUAUGAAUUUUCAGUGAAAUAUGAAUUUCAUAAAAAUUUAUGAAAUAUGAAUGGGUCAUGUUUACUACAAACUCAUAAACAUUAGCUAUUAUUACAUUUGAUGUUUUGAGAGGUUAGUUCUUAUGCCUCUAAAACCAGAUUUUACAUUUAUUUAUUCCAAUUACAGUUUAUCCUCUUAGUUUUAACUAGUUAUUUCAGGCUGUCAAGAUGUUUUUUGAAAUCUGUUUCUGUUACUUAACUCAUUAGCUAUCAUUCCCAACUGUGCCAAUUGUCACUCCAAUAAGGCACAGCUUUAGUGUCCUCAUUCAAGUAACUGACAAAUCACUGACUAGGAAAUAGUUCAAUAUGAUGCAUUUUAACUUACCCUUAAAGACCUUCUUUGAGGGUAAGAUUAGCCCAUUAAUCAACUACUAUUAGAGACCAGUGUCGAACCAGUCAGUCUUCAUUCACCUUUAAGCUAUCCCAUAGGCUCUACUCAAUCCAAUCCAAUGCAAUUAAAUUUAUUUUGUCAAGAUUUAAGCCUCAAAUGCCAAAAUACAUACUAAGCAGCAGGAAGUCUGCCAAAUAACUUGUUGGCACUGAGGUUCAUCAGGCAUUCCUGGAUUUACCAAUUGAGUAACUUCGUUAAAAAAGGGAAAUGUGGUUGGUGUGGUGUGAACUGUUGUUAGGGGAUUUAUGUUGUCUUAUGGUGGAGGAGCUGGUUGCUCUGCCAAAGGAGGGGAGUGGCAAUAGGCCAAGGGAUUAAGCAACAACAAAACCAGAGGUGGGCAAGUGGGGUGGAACUGAGAAGCUAUUGCUUAAGCACGUACAAGAGGGGCUAAACCAGAGAGUUCAUAAGAAUGGUGGAAUCAUUGCAAGGAAGUUUAGGCCAGAGAUUGGAGGUGGAAAUUAAAAAAUGAUAUCCAAGUUAUGAUAUUCACAAACUUACAGUCUGGUCUUACAGUCUAGCUGUGGGAAAAAGACAUAAAAGUAUACAAACAGAAAGUUCCAAGGAGUUGAAGCAAGAGUAUUUUUUCCCUAUUCCUCACACUAAGUAUGACUAAACCCCAAUGAUCAUCAUAUAAAAAACAAACAUAAGGAAACUCUCAAAGGUGGAGAGAAAGCAGACCAGCUUGAGACCUCAGGAUUUGCAAGGAACAAUACAGUGGUGAGUUCUCUGGCUUUUUCUUGUGUCUCAUAUAUCCCCAGGUGCUGGAGAAGCUAGAAACCUGGAAAUGAUAACAGACACAGACAAAAAAUAACUCCAACAAAAGCUGACUCUCUCUAGCCAAAGGACUACAAAGACAAAAAAAUUUUAGGCAUUAAAUGCUCUACUCCAGCCAAACACCACAUAAAAA